This 71-nucleotide transfer RNA is filed under the name Salmo salar (Atlantic salmon). It matches the Rfam family "tRNA". From Rfam's summary of the family: Transfer RNA (tRNA) molecules are approximately 80 nucleotides in length. The record is from Rfam by way of RNAcentral. Lineage: Eukaryota; Metazoa; Chordata; Actinopteri; Salmoniformes; Salmonidae.
GCAUUGGUUGUUCAGUGGUAGAAUUCUUGCCUGCCACGCGGGAGGCCCGGGUUCGAUUCCCGGCCAAUGCA